CAGUAGCCGCGGGAAUACCGAGGGUGCAAGCGUUAAUCGGAAUUACUGGGCGUAAAGCGCGCGUAGGUGGUUUGUUAAGUUGGAUGUGAAAGCCCCGGGCUCAACCUGGGAACUGCAUCCAAAACUGGCAAGCUAGAGUACGGUAGAGGGUGGUGGAAUUUCCUGUGUAACGGUGAAAUGCGUAGAUAUAGGAAGGAACACCAGUGGCGAAGGCGACCACCUGGACUGAUACUGACACUGAGGUGCGAAAGCGUGGGGAGCAAACAGGAUUAGAUACCCCCGUAGUCCCUGUCUCUUAUAA
This 301-nucleotide ribosomal RNA is filed under the name uncultured bacterium. Its description in RNAcentral is "partial 16S ribosomal RNA". It matches the Rfam family "Bacterial small subunit ribosomal RNA", at positions 509 to 809 of the family's 1533-position model. The record is from RNAcentral.